CCCCUCUCAGGGUUGUACCUGGAGAGUUUUCAGUACUCAACCAGUCUCGGCUACGGGAGGGAGAGUCAAGCAGAGGCAUACCCAUUCCAUUCCUAGCUUGGGCAGUGGCUAGAGAGUGGAAGGCCAUCUGCUACAAGU
This is a non-coding RNA of Ornithorhynchus anatinus (platypus), 138 nucleotides long. Lineage: Eukaryota; Metazoa; Chordata; Mammalia; Monotremata; Ornithorhynchidae. The record is from Rfam.